GGUUAAAAAGCUCGUAGUUGGAUCUCGGCGGGCAGGGGGUGGUUCGCUCUUCAGCGCUACUGCCCCGCUCUGCCCGUGUGAUUGGCGGAGGUUUCGGGGUGCUCUUCGUUGAGUGACUCGGAGCGCCGUCAGGUUUACUUUGAAAAAAUUAGAGUGCUCAAAGCAGGCUUUUCACGCUUGAAUAUUCGUGCAUGGAAUAAUGGAAUAGGAACUCGUUUCUAUUUUGUUGGUUUUCGGAAAUCGAGUUAAUGAUUAACAGGGACAAUUGGGGGCAUUAGUAUUCAGACGACAGAGGUGAAAUUCUUGGACCGUCUGAAGACUGACUACUGCGAAAGCAUUUGCCAAGAGUGUUUUCAUUAAUCAAGAACGAAAGUUAGAGGUUCGAAGGCGAUCAGAUACCGCCCUAGUUCUAACCAUAAACGAUGCCAGCUAGCGAUCUGCCGAGUUUUUUUUGUAGGCUCCGCAGGAAGCUUUCGGGAAACCAAAGCUUUUGGGUUCCGGGGGAAGUAUGGUUGCAAAGCUGAAACUUAAAGGAAUUGACGGAAGGGCACCACCAGGAGUGGAGCCUGCGGCUUAAUUUGACUCAGCACGGGAAAUCUCACCAGGCCCGGACACUGGAAGGAUUGACAGAUUGAGAGCUCUUUCUCGAU
RNAcentral lists this ribosomal RNA (650 nucleotides) under uncultured marine eukaryote. RNAcentral's name for it is "SSU rRNA". It matches the Rfam family "Eukaryotic small subunit ribosomal RNA", at positions 617 to 1266 of the family's 1831-position model. The record is from RNAcentral.